This 456-nucleotide ribosomal RNA is filed under the name uncultured bacterium. RNAcentral describes it as "bacterial SSU rRNA". It matches the Rfam family "Bacterial small subunit ribosomal RNA", at positions 341 to 786 of the family's 1533-position model. The record is from RNAcentral.
UCGGGAGGCAGCAGUGGGGAAUAUUGCACAAUGGGCGAAAGCCUGAUGCAGCUAUGCCGCGUGUAUGAAGAAGGCCUUAGGGUUGUAAAGUACUUUCAUCGGGGAGGAAAAAACAAAACUAAUAAUUUUAUUUCUUGACGUUACCCGAAAAAGAAGCACCGGCUAACUCCGUGCCAGCAGCCGCGGUAAUACGGAGGGUGCUAGCGUUAAUCAGAAUUACUGGGCGUAAAGAGCACGUAGGUGGUUUUUUUAAGUCAGAUGUGAAAUCCCUGGGCUUAACCUAGGAACUGCAUUUUGAAACUGAAAUACUAGAGUAUCGUAGAGGGAGGUAGAAUUCUAGGUGUAGCGGUGAAAUGCGUAGAUAUCUGGAGGAAUACCUGUGGCGAAAGCGGCCUCCUAAACGAAUACUGACACUGAGGUGCGAAAAGCGUGGGGAGCAAACAGGGAUUAGAUACC